RNAcentral lists this ribosomal RNA (784 nucleotides) under Arthrobacter sp. BP2. RNAcentral describes it as "bacterial SSU rRNA". It matches the Rfam family "Bacterial small subunit ribosomal RNA", at positions 679 to 1459 of the family's 1533-position model. The record is from RNAcentral. RNAcentral also lists the same sequence under 1 other name. Lineage: Bacteria; Bacillati; Actinomycetota; Actinomycetes; Micrococcales; Micrococcaceae.
CGGUGAAAUGCGCAGAUAUCAAGAGGAACACCGAUGGCAAAGGCAGGUCUCUGGGCUGUAACUGACGCUGAGGAGCGAAAGCAUGGGGAGCGAACAGGAUUAGAUACCCUGGUAGUCCAUGCCGUAAACGUUGGGCACUAGGUGUGGGGGACAUUCCACGUUUUCCGCGCCGUAGCUAACGCAUUAAGUGCCCCGCCUGGGGAGUACGGCCGCAAGGCUAAAACUCAAAGGAAUUGACGGGGGCCCGCACAAGCGGCGGAGCAUGCGGAUUAAUUCGAUGCAACGCGAAGAACCUUACCAAGGCUUGACAUGGACCGGAAAGACCUGGAAACAGGUGCCCCGCUUGCGGCCGGUUUACAGGUGGUGCAUGGUUGUCGUCAGCUCGUGUCGUGAGAUGUUGGGUUAAGUCCCGCAACGAGCGCAACCCUCGUUCUAUGUUGCCAGCGGUUCGGCCGGGGACUCAUAGGAGACUGCCGGGGUCAACUCGGAGGAAGGUGGGGACGACGUCAAAUCAUCAUGCCCCUUAUGUCUUGGGCUUCACGCAUGCUACAAUGGCCGGUACAAAGGGUUGCGAUACUGUGAGGUGGAGCUAAUCCCAAAAAGCCGGUCUCAGUUCGGAUUGGGGUCUGCAACUCGACCCCAUGAAGUCGGAGUCGCUAGUAAUCGCAGAUCAGCAACGCUGCGGUGAAUACGUUCCCGGGCCUUGUACACACCGCCCGUCAAGUCACGAAAGUUGGUAACACCCGAAGCCGGUGGCCUAACCCUUGUGGGGGGGAGCCGUCGA